Molecule: long non-coding RNA, 7159 nt
Organism: Ailuropoda melanoleuca (giant panda)
Lineage: Eukaryota; Metazoa; Chordata; Mammalia; Carnivora; Ursidae
Exons: 5
Source: RefSeq, a predicted model, not a curated record
GCCGGGGGCGACCCGGCGCCAGCAGUUUCAGGCCAGGAGCUCGCGGCGGUGGGAGAGGAAGGCGGGUACCUGAGCCUCCCUCCUCAGGGUUACCCGAAGGUGGGGAGGAAGGAGGAGGAGGGCGGCAGGGGAGCAGAGGGGGCGCUUGUCAUCCAGGUGGGGGGCAGGUGUAAGGGGUGUGUAGCGCCGCUGUUUUCAGAGUGGGUAAGAAUUCCCUUAACAUGCCCGCCUCCGAGGACUGAGGAACAAUGAACUGGCGAGACAGCAUUACUUAGAUACGGAUGCAAGGACUGGGCCAGGCGAGGACUCGCGACCCUAACGUUAGUUGAACCCUCAUCAGGAAUUGAGCGUGUAGCCGUUUUGAGGGCUGCCGCCAUCUCGGGCACCACCUGGCGCUCUGUGUGGGGGCGAGGACGAUAAGGGAGGCCCUGCCCCGGUCGGUCUACAGCAGCGCACUGGAGACUGAAUUAUCGCCCGUGCAACAGAAGGUACUUUACUGCAGGAGGAGAUGCGCAAGGCUGUGAGUUAACUGUACUUCUGGUGUCUUCAUCGUGGCCCGUCCAGGACAAGGGCUUCAUACUGCGACACCUUCGGCCAGAUUGAUUUGACCUCUUCAACUUAGCAGCUGGGCACGCUCGGUCAAGCUGCGUGACCUAAGGCCUCAGUUUUCCGUGCUGUGAAGCCGAGAUGCAUGACACAAUGCAAGCAUACAAGUACAGCACCUGUCACCUUCAAGGUGUGUUCGUUCAUGCUCAUACAGUUCAUUUGGGACCUACCACUUCUGGGUCCCUUGCCUUAACAGUAUCAAUUCUCAUCUAAUUACACCUCUUUCUUCCCCCACAUGCAAUUUAAUCAGCCUUCCCCCAAACUUCUCUACCCAACCCAGAAAGACCCUUCCUGGGAGGCCAUAGCUAUUUAUAUGUGAGCACUUCUAAAGACAUGGCUCCAACUUCCCUCUUUGCCACAGAAAUAUUGUUUUCUAUGGAUUGGAAAAAAGAAAAGUCUCUGACUGUGCAUAUGUGAUGAGGAGACAGCUGAGUGUUUAGGAUUCUGUUUUGUGGCUGUGAUGUCAGAAAUAGAUCUCAUGUACACACAUUGCUUCUUCUCCCCUCUCCUAUAAUACUAUCUGACACAGACACUUGCUUUCUCAUUUCAUAGAACAUUGACCGCUACAGGCCCUGAGAGUCAUUAUAGACAAAGUCUGUAUGGCAGCUGUCACUCUUUACCCACCUAGGGACCCAAGUUGAAAACCCCACUAGUCAUUGCUGAUGUCUUCUUUCCCCCAACAUAUAUCCAGUCGGUAGCAUCCUCCUGAUCUGUUGAUUUUACUCCCAAACAUGUGUAGACCCGGCCCCUUCUCCCUCACCGCUGUACCUGCCUUAUUUAGCUGCUUCCAGCCCUGCCCACCGUUGUGCUCCUCCAGGUUACUGGCCACACUGCCGUCCAAUUCAGUAGGAAAUUAACUUCAAAUAAAACACGAUUCCAGCCCUAAAUCUACUCCUCAUAAACGUCUCUAUAGCUUUCAGAAUAAAGUCCAUAUAUUUUUGAUUUUUUUAGAGAGAACGCGCUAGAGUGAGCGCGGGUGGGAAGGGGGUAGGGCAGAGAGAGAGAAUCUUAAGCAAGCUCCACACCCAGCACGGGGCCAGACGCAGGGCUCCAUCUCAUGACCUGAGAUCAUGACCUGAGCCAAAAUCAAGAGUCACUUAACCGACUGAGCCAUCCAGGCACCCCAUAAAGUCCAUAUUAUUUAACAAAACAUAUAAAAUCCAUUAUGAUCCGGCACCAAGCUACUUUGCCAGCCUCAUCUCCCGCCACUGGGCCCCACGAGCCCUCACUCGUCCCUUAUCAAACCAGCUGCCGUUCCUUCCUGUAAAACAACAGAGCCAGCCUCUUGUUCGUUGUUUUAUCCUUCGCGUGGUACCCAGCACACAGGUGCUCAAAUACUGGUGAAUUAAUAAUUACCCUUUUUAAUUAAUUAAUAAUUGCCCUUUUUUUCUCAUGAAAUAUUUUAGACUUUAUCAGAGUAUUUUAUUUUUUAAUAUAUUAUAACCGAUAUUUAUUGUACAGAAUGCAGAAAAUGCAGCAAAUUGGAAGAGGAAAAGAAGCCACCUGGAAUCUCACCAGUCGGGAAUUGAGCUGUUGAUAUUUUUGUGUAUUUCCUUCUUUAAUUUUUCUAAAGGGCCAUUUCCAGGCCUCAUCGACGCAGUCUCUGUGUCUCAUGUGGUAACGCCGGUUGUGCUGGCCAUUUUCCAUGAUGUCUGUGUGACUUCCCUGUAUCCUGUUCUCUUUCUUGGCUGGCUCCUCUUCUGCUGCCAGCCCCCUCAAUUAUGGUGUUUCCAGACAUUCCAUCUUAAACCCUUCCAUUUUCUCAUUCCACGUGCUUUCUCUUUGAGUGCUCUCACUCAUGCCCAAAGCUUCAGCUAGCUCUAUUUGGCGUUAGCUCCAAAGUCUGUAGCUUCUGAGGGCUUGUUGCAUUACCUCCUAGAUGUUUCUCAGGUUCAACAAAUUAUGCAUGUCUAAAACUAAACUGAUCACAUCUUUCCCAACAACCUUGUAUAUUUGUCACUUCACUGACCCACCAGCAAACUGGCAGGCAUCACUGACUCCUGCCUUUCCUGAGCCCCCUGGAGCCCCCUGAGGCAUGGGUACUGUUUCCAAUUUUUCAGGCCCCUGAACACAUAAAGCGUAAAAUGAAUUUCACUCUGUUCUUAUAACCUCGAUGACCUAUCGCUACAGACCAAAAGUGUAAAUACGCCCCCAGAAUCCAUGUGGUAUUGAUACACAGUCAAGAAAUAUUUCUUAGCCCUUUGAUGAGAUACAUACAGUCAUAAAUCACUGUGGAAAAUGGACCAGUAUAGCAAAAUAUAACCUUUUUGAAAGUCUCUGAAAAAAGUAACCUUUGCCAUACCAAAGAAAUCUGACCAGACACCUUGAUCUAAUACAAAAACCAUUGUUCAAGCAGUCUUAUAUGAUGAAACCAGAGUGAUCUCCUGAGUGAGGCUGCUCAUGUUCACCUGUGGAAUGGGACCUUCUAAAGAAGAUCUACCUACGUGCGUUAGGACUGAUUUCUUUUCAAGGAGGCUGAGGAAGAGUGGUGAUUAGUUGGACAUGUACUGAUUGACCUUGCCCUGAAGGGUUUCAACUAAGGAAGAAGUUUAAAGAUACGUUCAAGGUUAACCCCUUUCAGAUGGGUUUUUCAUUUAUUUUUCUAACAAGAAUAGUUUCAUAAAAUAAUCAUUCAAAUAGCAAACAUUUAUGAAGUGCCCCCAAACUCUUCUCAGCACUGGGAAUACGGCACCUAACCAAACACAUGGGAAAUCUCUGGCUCCUGAGUAGGGUUCCUACAGUCUAGUAUUUAGGCACGUUAAUUUCCGUUACAUCAUCCCAGUACCCCAGCAUCCCCUCCAUCCGUAACCACAGCCUUUAGAAAUGUACGUUAGGGGCGCCUGGGUGGCACAGCGGUUGAGCGUCUGCCUUCAGCUCAGGGCGUGAUCCCGGCGUUCUGGGAUCGAGUCCCACAUCAGGCUCCUCCACUAUGAGCCUGCUUCUUCCUUUCCCACUCCCCCUGUUUGUGUUCCCUCUUUCACUGGCUGUCUCUGUCUCUGUCAAAUAAAUAAAUAAAAUCUUUAAAAAAAAAAAAGAAAUGUACGUUAAAGUUAAGAAUGUGCAAUACAAUGGCUCUCUCACUAAACUGUUAAGUAUUUAUAGUUAUGAUUAAAUCAGUAGCCCAUCAUCCAUCUGUCAAUUGAUGCCCAAUCUUCUCACCUUAUCAGUUCCACUCUGUCCUGGCCACAGAGGCUCUCCCCCAUGGUGCUAUAAUUCAGGGGAUUAUAAAAUCAUAGAAAAUGAAUAUUCCACACUUGCAAGAGCAGUUGGACCAAUACAGAGGCAUAGACUAUAGUCCUGAACUCCAAAGAAUAUUAUUGUGAAGUCCGCAUUGAAUAUACAGUCGAGUUAGAUUUUAAUUGAGACAAUAGAACUGUUAAUGACAUUGAAAAAGCCACGCAAACAAUGAAUCAUGGAACGUUACAUCAAAAACUAACGAUGUACUCUAUGGUGACUAACAUACCAUAAUAAUAAAAAAAAUAAAAAACCUUCAAUCAAAGUUCAAGGAUCAGAAGCAUCAGGUUGGAGAAAUUCUUAACUAUUACGUCAUGUAAUGGUUUCUCCCACUUUACUAGAGACUCUGAAAUGAGGUUCAUUUUGUUGCAAUUAUCCUCUGAAAAUUAUGAAUUUCAAUUGAGUGAUCUAUUGCCCAGUCCUUAGUAAUAAAUAUUAAUUUUGUCCUGUUCUGAUGAAGUAAGGGAAAAAAUAUUCUUUAAAAUUGCCAGGAUAGGGGUGCCUCGCUGGCUCAGUCAGUGGAGGGUGUGACUCUUGAUCUCGGGGUUGUAAGUUCAAGCCCCCCAUUUGGUGUGGAGAUUACUUAAAAUCUUUUAAAGUAAAUAAAUAAAGGCAAAGAAAAUUGUCAGGGUAUUUGUGUUGGGGUGGGGAGAAAGAUAUUAUCUUGUCUAAAAGGAAGGUUUACAAUUCUGUAAACUUUAUACAUUGCUUUUUGCUAAAAUUUUGCUAAAGUAAAUAAAAAUCUUUUUUAAAAGGCGGGGUGGGGCCCUGGGUAGCUCAGUGGGUUAAGCGUCGGCCUUGGGUUCAGGUCAUGAUCCCAGGGUCCUGGGAUCUAGUCCCACAUCUGGCCCCUUGUUCGGCGGGGAGACUGCUUCUCGCCCUGCCUACCACUACCCUGCUUGGACUCUCUCUCUCUCUCUCUCUCUCUCUCCCUCACUCUCUCUCUGGCAAAUAAAUAAAUAAAAUCCUUAAAAAAAAAGUCAGAAGGAAAAGGCAUCCAUAGUUCUGUCUUGAGGUUCUUUAGAAAGAAUUACUAUAAUAGUUUCAAGUAUUAAAAAUAUUUUAAAUGAGAAAUAAAUUUCAAGUUUUUGACAUAAAUUCAGUAAACCACACAAUUCACUGGAUCUGGAUAUUUGAAGAAUUUUGUGUUACAGUUUCCAGUCUUUCUCUGUCAGCUCCUCACUUCCAGCGUAUGAAGCUCGAUGACACUCAGCCUGUUCUCUUUCUUCCCAAACGUCCCCGCAUUCUAAAUGACAUCCCUUCGUUCUAUUUGCAAAUGUUUGGAAAUUUGCCAGUCAGAAAGACAGAAGAGUGUCAUGAAACAAAGUGUUGCGAGUGUUUUUAAGUCUCUGACUUCUUCCAAAAACUUCCCCUCCGCUAAAUCCAAAAUGUGCGUGACAGUUGACAACACAGGACUCUUGGCGCUGCCUCCUUGGCCUCUGAGGCGAGAGGGCGACAUUUCGCAGGCCAUGCUGUGGACACUCAAGCUGCUGGGAGGGCUGUAGGAACAAGGCAAGCCCUGGUCUCCGGAGCUUACAUUCCAAACAACCCAACCAAUAAAGCUACAGAUUUGUCUUGGUGUUUUUGAAGGAAAUAAACAAGAGCUUUGACUGAAAAUACUGGAGGGUGUAGGUGGUCAAGGACUGUUCCUCGGAGAAAGUGACAGGUAAUCGGAGAGAAAAAAGAAAACACAACCAACUGUAAGUGGAAAACCACUAAAGAUUGAAGGAGAGAAAGAAUACAGACACCAAGCGACGGGAGGCAGUUGUGAGCGUCCAUAGAGCAGAGCCGACCAUCUUAGAGCUGUCUUUCAAGCACAUUGUUGGAGCACAUUGGAUUGUGUGGUCUGGGACUGCCUGCCCUCUGCAGGGCUGUGCUCGGCAGUUUGGAAGAGACAAGGAGGAAGGAGGCGUGGUUCCUGACCUUAGUGCAUUUGCAGACUCCAUUGGGAGACAGGGUUCUCCACACCCAGAUGGAAAUCUCUUUCCCUGUGGUACUUCAACUGAUUCCUUAGAAAUAAAAGAAUAAAGUUACAGUCGCCAGGUCAGUGCCUGGGGAUGUGAAUUUCUUGGCCGCUCUGAGGGCGCGCAGCAGUGGGCAGCUGGUACAAUGCUGGUGAGGAACCUAUUCAUGGCCAUGUUCAGGACGUCCAGAAGAAUAGUUUCAACUUACUUAUCAACUCAGCAUUCCACUCACAGAAUGACCCAUUUUUCUGAGAGACUUAGACCAAACCAGUAUUCCCGGGUUUUGGACCACCAAAGAAGGAAGGAAGUGCACAAAACUAACCUUUACUGAAGCUACUCCGAGCCAGGCACUCUGCUGGAUGCUUAACCGCCCUAUCACCCUGAUAGGUCAUUGCCCUUGAGGUUGAGGCCCUAAUUGCGUGUGAGUAUUCUAUCAUCUCUGCCUGGUCUGCUGGAGCAGGCUCCUUACUGCCUAGGCUUCGGUUUCCAGACAGCCCAUUCUGGAUUCAGAGGCACCCGGGUGUGAUUAAAAUAGAUCGCUUCGCUUUCCUUCCUCAGCCCCUUCGGGCAUUUCCCACAGCAAUUAGAAUGAAACCCACACUCCCUUCAAUGGCCUACAAAACCUCAGCAUGGGGUCCGGCCCGCACCUACUUAGCUCUGUCUGGCUUCAUCCCGGAGACCCUCCUUCCCCCUCCCUCCCGGUGCCUCAGCUCAGGGGGCCGCCCACAGCAGCCCACUGGCAAAGAGCUGACCACCUGUUUUCGGAGCAGCCCCUGGGCUAAGAAUGGAUUUUACAUUUGUAAAAGGUUGGAAAGAACUGGAAGAACAAGAUUUGGUGACACGUGGAAAUGACAGGCGAUUCAAAUCGCAGAAUUCAUAAAUAAAGUUUUAUUGGAACCCAGCCAUGCUCAUUCGUGUAGGCAUUAUCGGGGCGGCUUUUGUGCGACAAAAAGCUGAGUAGCUGCCGCUCACAAAGGCUUAAAAUCUCUACUAGGUGGUCCUUGGCAAGAAAAGUUUGCUGGACCCUGUUUUAGUGGCACUGGUCUCCUUUCUGUUCCUGAGACUUGCCCUGUGCGUUCUUUCCUCAGGGCUUUCUAUUUCCUGUUCCCUCCUCCUGGAAUGUUCUCCAGCUCUCCGCAUGGUUGGUGUGUUCUCACAGGGUCUCAUUAUCAUGGACAAAACCAGCAGAAAGUCACGUACUGUUUGAUUGUAUCUCUCACCUACAAAAGGGUCAAUCUCCCAUCCCUGGAUAAAGAGAUUGGAUUUCAGACUUGUCCCUUCCUGUCUGGCAACGAAAAGGAAACAAACUUUUUGGAGGCCAGGGUCGGCUCUGGACUCCACUGACCUGAUGAUUC